This 444-nucleotide ribosomal RNA is filed under the name Triticum aestivum (bread wheat). RNAcentral describes it as "partial small subunit ribosomal RNA". Lineage: Eukaryota; Viridiplantae; Streptophyta; Magnoliopsida; Poales; Poaceae. The record is from RNAcentral.
AUGCUUAGUUUAUUGAUUGCAUGCAUUGGCAAAUGGAAUAACUGCCCCAAAGAUUUGUGCGGGACGUACCAAUGUCACGCCAAAGAGGCCACAAUCAUACUCAAAGCAGUGGCAUCAAACGACUUAUGGACUUCACAUGCUUUCUUUAUCCCUAGUUUUCACAACGACAUCAAUGUGCUCCAGCGAUCUCCCGUGUUCGGGAGACUUUGCAGUAGGGAAGCACCGCCGUGCAACUACACAGUCAAUGGACAUGCCUACAACAUGGGGUACUACCUUGCAGAUGGUAUCUAUCCUCAAUGGACGACGUUUGUGAAGAUCAUAUCAGAUCCCCAUGGCAUCAAACAAAUACAGUUUGCUACAAUGCAAGAAACAAGUAGGAAGAAUAUGGAGAGGGCAUUCAAGUGCUCCAAGCUUAUUGGGGAAUUUUUGAUGGAGCUACAAUGA